CUGAGGGCUGCAGCAGACGGAAUGUCACCACAGAUGGAGAAGAGCUCAAUCAAGCACAGGUUUUGGAUACCUUGACCCCGAGAGGAUGUGCAUUUUUAGCAGGUCAGGCGGAGCAGCUGAAGUCUUAUCAGAGGAGUCCCCAGCCCAAGUCCACCUGGCGCCAAUUCUGAGCCUCUCUUCCCAUGAAUGAUGUCUGGAGACCUCUCGGCCUGGAACGUCUCAGUGAGCAGAGCUGGACCACGGCAUGGGAAGCAAGACACAUCCGACAUCCAGCCCAGAGAGAAGGCUGGGAGCGUCGCAGCUCAGCUCUUCCAGCAACACCGAGGAGUCAGAGUCCCUAGAAACUCAUCACCCGCCAGCUCUGUUCACGCACGUGCAAGAGCGAAAGUGUCCACCGAAGGGGACAUGUUUUACAGCAAAAUCUAGAACAGCAGGGAUGUCAGGACUUCAAAGCUUCCAUCUCCUCCUUGCCCCUCUGAUAUGGUGUCUCAGGAUUCUGGUAAGCUCAUCUCCAAAUGCCCUUGGGUUUUAUCAUUGCCCGAGAAGACAUGCCCAAACCGCCACAUCCCAGCUGGAAACAUCUUGUGUAGAAACAUCCAAAGGUGGCUUCAGGUCUGGUGGUAAGGGACCUGCAGUUGCAGCGGGCCGCCUCCCUCCUGCUCCCUGGGUGUGCUGGGCUCUGGGGAACACUGAGUUUCUACGGCCCCUGCAAUCCCGCAGUUUCCUCCCUUGAAUCAAACCUUGAUCUUUGAAGCCCUGAGUUUUGUAGAUUUAAACUGACCUGAAGGGACCAAGAAAGGACUCAGUGAGGCCGGGAGUCUCCCCGGCAGCUCUGAACACAGCAGGGAAGGGUCGGAUUGCUCACCCCUCUGGCUGCCCCUUGGAAGGGACUCCCACACCGCGACGAACUUUGCAAAGACUCCUGAGCAGGACAUUUUGCUUUGAAGGGAGAGGUGACCGCAGAACUACAGGCCAGAGAGGCUGGACACGUACCUGCAGUGGAGUGGACACUCACUAAGAGGGCCCCCUGGAAUGGUCCCCUUGGCUUUGUCAGUUCCAGAGACCCAGAUGGACACCACUUGUGCUAUUGAAAGAUGCCUCUCAUGGCCUAGGACCUGGAGGCCUGGACCUGGAGAAGUGGGCUUCCUCUGAGCAUGUGUCCACACAGGGGAGGGAUCCAGAGGCAAAGAGUGGGUUUCGUGGGUCCCCAGAUAUGACUGGGUUCUUUCCUUGAACUUUGGCCUCGGGGUCUCCUGACUCUCCGGUGUGGGUACCUGUGUGCCCACCUGCAUGGGCACUCCUUGUUCCUUGCCCCCUCUGUGGUCACCCCUGGCCAGGCCCUCUGCCUUGGGCUUGGGCGUGGGAGGCUCACAGGGCCUGGUCACCGGAAGUAGAGACCGAGGGGCUGGUCAGUCUGCAGGGAUGAAAGAUACCCCUCCAGCUCUAGGAGGAGGGGGCGUGGACUUUGCAAUUCGGAAAUCAAGAACGUUCUCUGUGGCCACCCCACC
Long non-coding RNA from Bos taurus (domestic cattle), 1508 nucleotides. The record is from Ensembl. NCBI's taxonomy places the organism in Eukaryota, Metazoa, Chordata, Mammalia, Artiodactyla, Bovidae.